CUACAGGCUUAACACAUGCAAGUCGAGGGGCAGCAUUUUAGUUUGCUUGCAAACUGAAGAUGGCGACCGGCGCACGGGUGAGUAACACGUAUCCAACCUGCCGAUAACUCCGGGAUAGCCUUUCGAAAGAAAGAUUAAUACCGGAUAGCAUACGAAUAUCGCAUGAUAUUUUUAUUAAAGAAUUUCGGUUAUCGAUGGGGAUGCGUUCCAUUAGUUUGUUGGCGGGGUAACGGCCCACCAAGACUACGAUGGAUAGGGGUUCUGAGAGGAAGGUCCCCCACAUUGGAACUGAGACACGGUCCAAACUCCUACGGGAGGCAGCAGUGAGGAAUAUUGGUCAAUGGGCGAGAGCCUGAACCAGCCAAGUAGCGUGAAGGAUGAAGGCUCUAUGGGUCGUAAACUUCUUUUAUAUGGGAAUAAAGUUUUCCACGUGUGGAAUUUUGUAUGUACCAUAUGAAUAAGGAUCGGCUAACUCCGUGCCAGCAGCCGCGGUAAUACGGAGGAUCCGAGCGUUAUCCGGAUUUAUUGGGUUUAAAGGGAGCGUAGGUGGAUUGUUAAGUCAGUUGUGAAAGUUUGCGGCUCAACCGUAAAAUUGCAGUUGAAACUGGCAGUCUUGAGUACAGUAGAGGUGGGCGGAAUUCGUGGUGUAGCGGUGAAAUGCUUAGAUAUCACGAAGAACUCCGAUUGCGAAGGCAGCUCACUAGACUGUCACUGACACUGAUGCUCGAAAGUGUGGGUAUCAAACAGGAUUAGAUACCCUGGUAGUCCACACAGUAAACGAUGAAUACUCGCUGUUUGCGAUAUACAGUAAGCGGCCAAGCGAAAGCAUUAAGUAUUCCACCUGGGGAGUACGCCGGCAACGGUGAAACUCAAAGGAAUUGACGGGGGCCCGCACAAGCGGAGGAACAUGUGGUUUAAUUCGAUGAUACGCGAGGAACCUUACCCGGGCUUAAAUUGCAACAGAAUAUAUUGGAAACAGUAUAGCCGUAAGGCUGUUGUGAAGGUGCUGCAUGGUUGUCGUCAGCUCGUGCCGUGAGGUGUCGGCUUAAGUGCCAUAACGAGCGCAACCCUUAUCUUUAGUUACUAACAGGUUAUGCUGAGGACUCUAGAGAGACUGCCGUCGUAAGAUGUGAGGAAGGUGGGGAUGACGUCAAAUCAGCACGGCCCUUACGUCCGGGGCUACACACGUGUUACAAUGGGGGGUACAGAAGGCGGCUACCUGGUGACAGGAUGCUAAUCCCAAAAACCUCUCUCAGUUCGGAUCGAAGUCUGCAACCCGACUUCGUGAAGCUGGAUUCGCUAGUAAUCGCGCAUCAGCCAUGGCGCGGUGAAUACGUUCCCGGGCCUUGUACACACCGCCCGUCAAGCCAUGAAAGCCGGGGGUACCUGAAGUACGUAACCGCAAGGAGCGUCCUAGGGUAAAACUGGUAAUUGGGGCU
This 1439-nucleotide ribosomal RNA is filed under the name uncultured organism. Its description in RNAcentral is "SSU rRNA". It matches the Rfam family "Bacterial small subunit ribosomal RNA". The record is from RNAcentral.